This 253-nucleotide ribosomal RNA is filed under the name uncultured bacterium. RNAcentral's name for it is "partial 16S ribosomal RNA". It matches the Rfam family "Bacterial small subunit ribosomal RNA", at positions 524 to 776 of the family's 1533-position model. The record is from RNAcentral.
UACAGAGGCCUCGAGCGUUAGGCGGAAUCACUGGGCUUAAAGCGGGUGUAGGCGGACUUCUAAGUACCUUGUGAAAUCCCACGGCUCACCCGUGGAACUGCUUGGUAUACUGGUCGUCUUGAGCCUUCUAGGGGCGAGUGGAACAAAUGGUGGAGCGGUGAAAUGCGUAGAUAUCAUUUGGAACGCCAAUGGUGAAAACAACUCGCUGGGGAAGUGCUGACGCUGAGACACGAAAGCCAGGGGAGCGAACGGG